GAUGAACGCUGGCGGCGUGCCUAACACAUGCAAGUCGAGCGAUUUACUUCGGUAAAGAGCGGCGGACGGGUGAGUAACGCGUGGGUAAUCUGCCCUGUACACACGGAUAACAUACCGAAAGGUAUGCUAAUACGAGAUAAUAUACUUUUACCGCAUGGUAGAAGUAUCAAAGCUCCGGCGGUACAGGAUGGACCCGCGUCUGAUUAGCUAGUUGGUAAGGUAUCGGCUUACCAAGGCGACGAUCAGUAGCCGACCUGAGAGGGUGAUCGGCCACAUUGGAACUGAGACACGGUCCAAACUCCUACGGGAGGCAGCAGUGGGGAAUAUUGCACAAUGGGCGAAAGCCUGAUGCAGCAACGCCGCGUGAGCGAUGAAGGCCUUCGGGUCGUAAAGCUCUGUCCUCAAGGAAGAUAAUGACGGUACUUGAGGAGGAAGCCCCGGCUAACUACGUGCCAGCAGCCGCGGUAA
This 468-nucleotide ribosomal RNA is filed under the name uncultured bacterium. RNAcentral describes it as "partial 16S ribosomal RNA". It matches the Rfam family "Bacterial small subunit ribosomal RNA", at positions 28 to 523 of the family's 1533-position model. The record is from RNAcentral.